Non-coding RNA from Podarcis muralis (Common wall lizard), 1082 nucleotides. Lineage: Eukaryota; Metazoa; Chordata; Lepidosauria; Squamata; Lacertidae. The record is from RefSeq and is a predicted model, not a curated record.
UCUCUGCUUACAAAGUUUGCAAAGCCAGCCAAGAAAGAUGACCUCUUAUGUGUACCAAAAGCGAACAGAGCUUUUUUUCUGUUGAAAUUGCUUUAUUUUUGAAUCCAUAAAUAUUUGUUACUGACAAAAGUGGAAAAAAAUCCUUAAGACUCUAAUUUUUUUUUUUUUACUAAACCGGUAAUAGUUUUGUUUACAGUACCUACAGAAUGUGCUUUUACAGGUAAGUAUAACAACAAGGAUAAUACAGAGAAAAACAGUCAAAUACUGCUGCCUUGAAGCUUAAUGCGUAACCAAGAGUCUGUGCAAAGAUACAGAUAACAAAUGUACUUUCUUGUCAGAACUACUGAAGAAUAAACAUGGAUUCCAUAAACUGGGCUAAAGCACAAAGAGGGCUGGACAUUCAACCUUCCCCUCAGGAAAUAGCUAUCCCCCAAAUUAAGCUGGUUACAAUAAGAUUUGGCUUCCUUGGAGAAGAGAAACUCUUGCUAAAGGAUUCCUUGUCAGCUUAUGGAAUGAAGGCUUGAAGAAGCGACUGCAAAGCAUGUGGUUAGAGCAACAGUAAGGCGCAGUUCUACACCAUUGGUGAGAACUUCCACAAAUCAUGAAAGGUCACAAAAAGAGACACCAAAUGCCAUUUUCGCUAACUAUUGAGAUAAUGGACUUUUUAGUCCCCCCUCCCCAGAUUUACAUAAAUAUAAUAAGAACAGUAUGUCUGUCUCCCUUCAUUCUCACAGGCCUUUGGCAGAUGAAGUACUGUAUAAUGUUUGGAAAUGAUUCCACCUGCUGCCUCUACAACUCAGUGAAGACACCUCAGAGAUGAUGCUGGACCAUCCUGUUGAUUAGCAGCAAACAUACAACAUACAGUCUUGUUAUAUACUUGAACCCAACCCAGAGGAGUGUAAUGCGGCUUGGCCUGUGCAAGAACUGACCUACAGGGGAUGCUAUAAUCACAGGAGGAACCAACCAAGGCAGCUGUAGGACAAUCUACUCUUGCAAGUCACAGCAACACCUGCUGCUACUUGGAGAAACCCUGGAAAAACUUGAAUGGCUGCAAAAUGCUGAAAUGAACAUGUGGGUCCUGC